GAAUUUUGGACAAUGGGGGCAGCCCUGAUCCAGCCAUGCCGCGUGUGUGAAGAAGGCCUUCGGGUUGUAAAGCACUUUCGGACGGAACGAAAUCGCGCGCUCUAAUAAGUCGCGUGGAUGACGGUACCGUAAGAAGAAGCACCGGCUAACUACGUGCCAGCAGCCGCGGUAAUACGUAGGGUGCGAGCGUUAAUCGGAAUUACUGGGCGUAAAGUGUGCGCAGGUGGCUGAGCAAGUCGAGUGUGAAAUCCCCGGGCUUAACUUGGGAAUUGCGCUCGAAACUACUUGGCUCGAGUGUGGCAGAGGAAGGUGGAAUUCCAGGUGUAGCGGUGAAAUGCGUAGAGAUCUGGAGGAACACCGAUGGCGAAGGCAGCCUUCUGGGCCAACACUGACGCUCAUGCACGAAAGCGUGGGGAGCAAAC
RNAcentral lists this ribosomal RNA (422 nucleotides) under uncultured bacterium. RNAcentral's name for it is "bacterial SSU rRNA". It matches the Rfam family "Bacterial small subunit ribosomal RNA", at positions 359 to 773 of the family's 1533-position model. The record is from RNAcentral.